UGAAGGGCUGCAGAUGUCUGCCUUGAGAUAUAAGAACGUCAAUUCUACACUUUGUUAGCGAUUUUGAAGAAGUGUUGGCCGUCCGGUUAGAUUGAUAUAUAUACGCAUGCUGAUAUCAUUUGAUAUGUCUCGUGUCUUGGCUUGUUGUGAUUCUUAAAAAAAGUAUCAGGCUUGUUUUAAGAUUAGAACGUUGAAGUAUUAUUGGUCCUUAGCAUCUUCUUUUUGUAAAUUUAAUUUGAUAUCCUGUUUGGAUCCUAUGUCUGCAAACUUCGAGCUGUUUUGAAGAUGUCUUGGUUAGAUGGGGGAAAAAUGUUAAAUUGGUGUCACCUUGACCCACAAUAGCCCAAAGUUCAUACCCCAGUUCCUUUCUUAAAGUCAUUAUAAGAAAACAUGUUCCAAACGAUGUAAAGGUUUAAUUUGUUUACUGGAAAAACGAUGAAAAAGUUGCUCGGCGACGAACUGCCCAUGCGGCAUCUCACCCACCGGGCUUACAAAAAACAUCAUAGUACGACGAUGUGGAUCCGGACCGCAUCGUCGGUCAGCUCAGGACGCAAGCAGUGACGCCUUGGCCCGCCUAUUAAACCAACUCCGCUAUGUGUAUGAGCGCAUUCAAGCUAGCAGAGCACACACACGCGUCCAUCUCCAAGAAGCGGAAGCUAGCACAGCAGAGCAAAGCAAGGUGCAAUGGCGCCGGCGGUGAAGGUGUACGGGUGGGCGGUGUCGCCGUUCGUGGCGCGCCCGCUGCUGUGCCUGGAGGAGGCCGGCGUCGACUACGAGCUCGUCCCCAUGAGCCGCGCGGCCGGCGACCACCGCCAGCCGGACUUCCUCGCCCGGAACCCCUUCGGCCAGGUCCCCGUCCUCGAGGACGGCGACCUCACCCUCUUCGGUACGCCCAUUUCCAUCAUCCUCUAUUCUCAGGAGUAGGAACGAGUUAUUAACAGUCUGAAAUUCCGCACGCAGAGUCGCGCGCGAUCGCGAGGCACGUGCUCCGGAAGCACAAGCCGGAGCUGCUGGGCUGCGGCUCGCCGGAGGCGGAGGCGAUGGUGGACGUGUGGCUGGAGGUGGAGGCCCACCAGUACAACCCGGCGGUCAGCGCCAUCGUGGUACAGUGCAUCAUCUUGCCGCUCCUCGGCGGCGCGCGGGACCAGGCGGUGGUGGACGAGAACGUGGCCAAGCUCAAGAAGGUGCUGGAGGUCUACGAGGCGCGGCUGUCGGCGUCGAGGUACCUCGCCGGCGACGACAUCAGCCUCGCCGACCUCAGCCACUUCCCCUUCACGCGCUACUUGAUGGAGACGGAGUACGCGCCGCUGGUGGCGGAGCUCCCCCACGUGAACGCGUGGUGGGAGGGGCUCAAGGCCAGGCCGGCCGCGAGGAAGGUGACGGAGCUCAUGCCGCCGGACCUUGGGCUUGGAAAGAAGGCAGAGGAGUGAUGACUGCCUGGCAAUUACACCGGACUGCCGCCCACGUUCACCAGAAUCGAGCAAGUCACUGUCGACUGUCGAGUCUCCUGUCCGGUUUUGCGUUGUACCGGCAGAUAUGUUCUGUGCCAGUGGCUCGUGUUUUGAGUCUCACGCUUGAAUAAAAUGCAAGAUACCCAUCGGUUCCAAAAUAAUUAAAAUUUUAUGUUUAUUUUAAGUCAAGCUUCAUUGAAUUUGAUCAGUUUUUAUAUUAAAAUAUAUCAACAUCAAACUUGCUCAUUACGAAAUGUAUUUUCAUAUUAUAUUGAUAUAAUGACACAGACACACACCAGUUUCAAAAAAAAAA
RNAcentral lists this long non-coding RNA (1764 nucleotides) under Triticum aestivum (bread wheat). RNAcentral describes it as "long non-coding RNA (TAES_LNC013881)". The record is from RNAcentral. Lineage: Eukaryota; Viridiplantae; Streptophyta; Magnoliopsida; Poales; Poaceae.